This is a long non-coding RNA of Balaenoptera musculus (blue whale), 365 nucleotides long. RefSeq lists it as uncharacterized. Lineage: Eukaryota; Metazoa; Chordata; Mammalia; Artiodactyla; Balaenopteridae. The transcript is spliced from 3 exons. The record is from RefSeq and is a predicted model, not a curated record.
UCUUCCUUGCCCCUUUAUUUUUUCUCUAACCACUUAAUCUCUGCAUUCUUAAGUCUCUUUCCAGCAACCAUCCCCUUCAUCCCCAGCCCAUCUCACUGUUCCUCUCACCUGCACAGGACAGCAGCAGCAGCAGGGGCCAGAGGCUCAGAGCCAUGUUUCCAGAUGAGGAAAUGGAGGCCCAAAGAAAUAGAAUACCUUGGCCCACGCAAUCAAAGGAGGUGAAGGCAGUGCUGGGAUUUUCCAAGGUGUGAGGUGGAAAUUCAGAGGCUGAGGUGCCAAAACAGCAAACACCCUUCUUCUCCCCAGUUAUAUAUGCUACUCCAAUGGACUUAACUCCUGGUCUCCAUGGCUGCCCUAAAUCCAUA